CAUAUGGAUUCCUACGGGAGGCAGCAGUGGGGAAUUUUUGGCAAUGGGGGCAACCCUGACCAAGCAACGCCGCGUGGGUGAUGAAGGCCUUCGGGUCGUAAAGCCCUGUCUGGGGGGACGAACCUCUUGCCGGUGAAUAUCCGGCAAGACCGACGGUACCCCCGAAGGAAGCACCGGCUAACUCUGUGCCAGCAGCCGCGGUAAGACAGAGGGUGCGAGCGUUGUUCGGAAUUACUGGGCGUAAAGGGCGCGUAGGCGGCCUGCUAAGUUCGGUGUGAAAGCCCUCGGCUCAACCGAGGAAGUGCGCCGGAUACUGGCAGGCUUGAGUACCGGAGAGGAGGGUGGAAUUCCUGGUGUAGCGGUGAAAUGCUUAGAUAUGUCAUAGAACACCGAUUGCGAAGGCAGCUCACUAAACUGUCACUGACGCUGAGGCACGAAAGCGUGGGGAGCAAACAGGAUUAGAUACCCUGGUAGUCCACGCCCUAAACUAUGAUCACUCGAUGUUGGCGAUACACUGUCAGCGUCUAAGCGAAAGCAUUAAGUGAUCCACCUGGGGAGUACGGUCGCAAGACUGAAACUCAAAGGAAUUGACGGGGGGCCCGCACAAGCGGAGGAGCAUGUGGUUUAAUUCGAUGAUACGCGAGGAACCUUACCUGGGCUUGAAAGUUAGUGAAUCCCGCAGAAACGCGGGAGGCCGAAAGGACACGAAACUAGGUGCUGCAUGGCUGUCGUCAGCUCGUGCCGUGAGGUGUUGGGUUAAGUCCCGCAACGAGCGCAACCCCUGUCAUUAGUUGCCAACAGGUAAUGCUGGGGACUCUAAUGAGACUGCCUGCGCAAGCAGUGAGGAAGGUGGGGAUGACGUCAAGUCAUCACGGCCCUUACGUCCAGGGCUACACACGUGCUACAAUGGAUGGUACAACGGGUUGCUACUUGGUAACAAGAUGCUAAUCUCUAAAGCCAUUCUCAGUUCGGAUUGAGGUCUGCAACUCGACCUCAUGAAGCUGGAUUCGCUAGUAAUCGCGUAUCAGCAAUGACGCGGUGAAUACGUUCCCGGGCCUUGUACACACAUCGGAUCCCCGGGUAC
RNAcentral lists this ribosomal RNA (1084 nucleotides) under uncultured bacterium. RNAcentral describes it as "bacterial SSU rRNA". It matches the Rfam family "Bacterial small subunit ribosomal RNA", at positions 328 to 1533 of the family's 1533-position model. The record is from RNAcentral.